GGCCUGCCCAAUGGAUAAGUUUAAAUGGCUGCGGUAUUUUGACCGUGCAAAGGUAGCAUAAUCAUUAGUUUUUUAAUUGAAAGCUUGUAUGAAAGGUUUGAUGAAAAAGUUUCUGUCUCUAGAAGAAUUUAUUAGAAUUUUAUUUUUAAGUUAAAAAGCUUAAAUAUAUAUAGAAGACGAGAAGACCCUAUAGAGUUUUAUAUUUAUUUUACAUUAGAUUAAAGGUUUGUAAAAGGUUGUUUGUUUAUAUAAGUAUUUAGUUGGGGUGACAGGAAAAUUGAUAGAACUUUUUAUUUAUAUGGACAUUGAUGUGUGAAUUAGUGAUCCCAGUGUUUGGAUUAUAAGAUAAAAUUACCUUAGGGAUAACAGCGUAAUUUUUCUUAGAGUUCUAAUUGAAGGAAAAGAUUGCGACCUCGAUGUUGGAUUAAAAUUUAUUAGUGGUGUAGGAGCUGCUUAUUUAGGUCUGUUCGACCUUUAAAAUUUUACAUGAUCUGAGUUUAGACCGGUGUGAG
RNAcentral lists this ribosomal RNA (512 nucleotides) under Trigonopterus sp. 275 AR-2022a. RNAcentral's name for it is "partial large subunit ribosomal RNA". It matches the Rfam family "Bacterial large subunit ribosomal RNA", at positions 1856 to 2625 of the family's 2925-position model. Lineage: Eukaryota; Metazoa; Arthropoda; Insecta; Coleoptera; Curculionidae. The record is from RNAcentral.